This is a transfer RNA of 72 nucleotides. It matches the Rfam family "tRNA". From Rfam's summary of the family: Transfer RNA (tRNA) molecules are approximately 80 nucleotides in length. Their secondary structure includes four short double-helical elements and three loops (D, anti-codon, and T loops). The record is from Rfam.
GGCUAGUUAGUUAAGUAGUAUAAUUUCUAAUUACAAAUUAGAAGGUUAUAGGUUCAAUUCCUGUAUUAGCCU